UCAAGGCUUGGUCACAGCAGUGACAGCCCAGCUCAACUCUACAAAAUGUGGAGCCUUAGCAGAGCGGCGGGGGGAGGUCUGGGGCCCACCAGGAAAAGAGGCUUGGAGGGGGCACCUGGAGCAUCGCGACUACUUUUGCUGGGCUUGAGAGCUUGAGAUUGUGCCAAGUGCAUGCUCAGCUGGUUAUGGAACAGUUACAACGUGCUAACGGAACUUUCCCACCGGGGAGGGAAAGCCUUCCUGAAGACAGGCCUCUGGGUGGGGCCCAGCCAGAAGUGCCUCUGGCUGCCGACCCCUGGGCUGGGCCUGGGCCAGGGACACAGAGCUUUCCCCAGGGCUCAGGCCCCUCCUUGCCCCCUCUACCCCCCUCACUCUCUCACAGGCAAGGCCAGGGUUCCGGAAUCCUUAGAUUCCUAACGCAAGAGCAGCCUCCCACAGAUGCGUGGCCCUUGGCCAUCUGGAGGACAGAUUUUGAAGGGGCCACCAGCAGGCUUGGUCGUGGUUGUCUCGGAGGACUUGGGUUUCCUUUACUUUAGUUCCUGUCCCCUGUGCCAGCUCGGAUCUCUGGGUGCCCAGGGAAGAAGUGGAAAGCACUGCACCCCAAACAUAAGCUGCUGACUGUGUGGAGGGGCUAGCCUCUGGCGGCACCCUCAGUUCCAGGGUGCUUUGAGGGACCCAGUCUGGGUGAGCAAGGAGAGGCCCCUGGAGCCCAGGGGAGGAUGUUCAGAGAGUCACUCUCAUUCUGCCUCUGCACUGAAGCACAGGAAGUGAGGAAGGGGGACAGGAGCCUGUGGGUGAGGAAAGGGGGACAGGCCCAUGGCCGGGGAGGCGGCAUGGAAGUGAAGGAGCCCUCUGUGUGUACCAGAGCUGUCUCACAUGCCCCCCAUGAGGUAGGUCACAUUCCCCCCGUGUGGGGGCAUUUGUGCCCAUUUCACGGACAAAGAAACAGAGGCAUCUGAGCUGAACUAGCAAAGCCUCAAAGUGAAGCCAUGCCUUGACCUCAGGUCUUGCUGGUUUCGGAGCCCACACUCAUUCUUUCGGUACAAAGCCUCACUGUGUCCCUGUAGAGAUCUGGAGGGCCAGUUGCCAGGUCCUGUUCGUGUGGGCUGCAAGUUGCUUGGUGUCUCAGAAGCUCGGUUUCCUCCUCCAGAAAGGGAAAUGAGCAGGACUGUGCACCUUCCACUGCACCCUGGAUGUGCAGUGGGUUGGGCAGCCUAGCAGAUAGCUGGCCUGUAGAGGCCGAAGAUGCAAGCCCCAAAUGUGGCCAUGCUGUGACUCCCGGGAGCUGGAGUAGCUGCUUUCUGAUGGAUCAGGCUGUCCAGGCCCCCUGUCUCCCAGCGCAAUUCCCAGACACAUGUGUACCAGCUCUCUGUGAUACUGGGUGCCAUUCUGGGUGCCAGCUCUGUCCCACUAAUCUUUUUCUAGGUAAUAAAUGACCCGAAGCUAGGUGGCCUCAAACAGCCCCUGUUUCAUCACUGUGAAGUUUCUUAGGUCGGAAACUCGGGCACGGUUUGACUAUACGACUCUUCUCCGCGUCCACAGGGCACGUAUCAGUGGUGUUCAGCUGGUGGAUGGAUGGUUCUAGGGGCUUUACUUUUGUAGCUGGAACCCAGGCAGAAACAGCUGGUGGGCUAGGCUUGCCCGGUCCUGUCCACCACUAGGGCCUUUCCAACAUCCAGCUCAGGGGAGCGGGGCGCCUCACACCGUGACCCAGGGCCCCAACAGUAAGCUCUGGCGAACAAGAGCUUCUUCUGCAGGGCCUCUUAGGAGCCAGCCUUGGAGUUGCCCCUAAGGCUCUUUGGUCAUCCUGCCUUGGCUGCCGCAGUCACAGUCACCCUGAUUCAAGGGAAAAAGACAUUGACUCCUCCUUUCAUUGGAAGGAGUGUCAAAAACUGAGCCUAUGUUUCAAAAGCAUCAUAACUGAGCUGGGGGUGUAGCUCAGUGGUAGAGCAUGUGCUUAGCACGCACAAAGCCUUGGUCUCCAUCCCCAGCAGUGAACAAGCACGUACAUAAAUAAAUAAAAUGGAUGCAUCAGCGUCAUAAUGGACCAUCGCAGCACCCGUAGCCCUCCAGUCCCAUGCCUUCCUCCCUGUCUCCUCUGCAGACAGCCGCACUCCCACAAGUCAGGCGGUCAACUUUUACCUCCCCUCUCAGCAACGAUCUGAAACAUUCAUUCAUUGAAAGUGUCAGGGUCUUCACAAGUUACUCCCUGGAGGGGCAUUUUCACUUUAAAAUGGUGGCCCCAGAAUGCGGUGGCACAACCAAAGGAAUGCAUUGCUAAUGGUGGAAUUCCAGGCAUUUACCACAGGCCAGUAGGGGAUAUAUUUUUCGGCCAAGGGACUUUCCUGCUGAAGAAAGCUGGCGGUUCAGUCCACCCUGAACCCAUGAACAGUGUGAACUGGCCGCCGAGCUCUACAAGCAGCCUGGACAGCAUUUUCCGCACCGCAUGGGGGCUCCCCAAGCCUCACUGAGAAUCAGCACUCAGACUGGGUCCCAGGAACGAUUCCCCAACCCUACAGGACUGACCCAUCAGAGGCGCUGCCAUCUCUGCCACACACAGGAAGCCAUCCUGGGAGCAGCUGUGUUUGAAAGCCCACUGCUGAAGCUGUGAGCCUAGAAGGAGGAGGUAGCUCUGCAGCUGCAGCUGCUGUGUCCGGACACGGACAACGCUGGGAGCCCGAGAAUGAAGCCAGCAACAGAAGACAGCCAGAGCCGGGAGGAAAGAAAGGAAGAAACUGAGUCUGGAUGACACAGUUGAAGUCCUGAAUACAGCAAAGCCUUUGGCUGCCACGCGCAUCCCCAAACUGGACUGGCAAUAUCCCAGGGGCACAGGCAGGGGCUGUGCCUGUCGUUUCCUGCGACUCACUGCAGGUGGUGAGUUAGGACGAAAGCAACCCUCAGCUGGAAUUUGACCAGCCAUCUGAUCAUUUGGUAGGAAGCAGAUACAAGGAAGGUGAUGUAAUCUGUUUCCGUAGACUUGGAAACAUCCCCACUCUAUCUUCAGGCCCUCUGAUAGGCAUUUUGCAUGCAGUAUUCGCUCAAGACAGGUGCAAUGAUAUUCUCUUGGCAGAAGCUGCCAAAUUUCUGGGUGGAUGAGGCAGCAUGGUCCUCUGAAAACAGGGAGGUGACAGAGGACCCAAUGGAACUCCAAAUUAGAAUACUGCUCAGGAGAUGCCAGGAGGCUGCACUGGCCUUGUCACUGCCAAGGCGUGGAGCCCACUGUCUUAAACUAUGUAUCUGAGUAUUUCGAAGAUCACUAUGCUAAUUAAGGCAUCCUCUGGGGUCAACUUAGAUAUGGAUAUUUGACGUGGACUAUGGAUUCUGUAUCAGUCACUUUCCUAUCACUGGAAUGAAAUGCCCAAUACCUGCAGUUUAGGGAAGAGAGGCUUAUAUUGACUCAUAGUUUCGGAGGUUUUCAGUCCAGGGUAGGCUGGCUCCAAGGCAGAACCAUCAUGGCGGAAGGGUGUGGCAGAGCACAGAUGCUUAGCUCAUGGCAGCCAGGAAACAGCAGAGGAACAAUGCCACGGAGGAAGGGGCCAGAUAUAGUAUUCAAGGUGAUGCCUUCGUGAUGCACCCAGACACACCCAGCAGUGUGCGCCACCCAUCCCCUGGGUGGCUGCCAGACUGGUCAAGGGAGAUACAAUUAAGCUUAACUAUCACAGAUUCCUAUUAGGGUUUUUCAAAUGCUAACUAACCACCCAAAGUAAGUAUACUUACACACACACACACACACACACACACACACACACACUUUGUACACAUAGAAAUGUUUUAGAGUGAAUUAUCAUAUAGAUAAUACAGUACCAUUCAGGUGGGAUUAGACAUCACAUACAGCCCUUCUUUGGUUUCACAGGGAAGGAAAAGAAGGAACUAACAGUGACAUCUCUGGGCUGAUCAAGGGAAGUUCUGUGAUGCACAGGGGCUUAGGGAUCUCAGAGGACCACGGAGAGGCCCCAAGCUGUCUCAGAACCCUCUGACUCAUAAAGAAAAGUAUGCGCUGAUGCCUAUGUGCACUUGGGGUGUGAAGAUGAGGAGAGGUGGCAGCUUUUAUGAGAUUUUGAAAGGGUCCUGAGGCCCCCAGACGUGAGGAAGCCCUGAACCAUGCAUGGCUGGGGAAAGAAGGUACAAAGAGGCCCUGCUCAGCAACAGCCUUGGGAAGACUCGGCCAUUGCCCACCGGGGCAGCUCUAGGGUGCCCGCACUUGUGCUCCACAAAGAAGCCUUCCGCACAAUCACGCGGAGUCUGAGGCGAGUUAAAGGCUGAGCACUUCAGAAGCAGCAGUGUUUAUUUUAUUUAAAACAUGUUCAGUUAUGAUAAAAACAGAAGUAAAGCUUACCAUUUCAACCCUUUUCCAGUGUACAGUUCAAUAAUGUUAAGUAUAUUCACAUCACAGUGAAGUAAAUCUCUAGAACUUUUUCAUCUUGCAAAACUGAAACUCUGUACCCAGCAAACACUAAUCCCCCAUUGUCCUUCCUCCUCCAUCCCUGGAAACCACUGUUCCUCUCGUUUCUGAGAAUUUGACUACUAUGAAUUCUUCAUAGAAGAGGAACCAGGCAGUGCCUGGUUUACUGCACUGAGCACAAGGCCCUCAAACGUUACCUGAGGUGUUGUGUGUGACAGGAUUUCCCUUGUUUUUAAGGCUGAAUAGUAUUCCAUUCUAUGUAUUGUCCACCUAAAUUGAGCGACAGACAGAUGACUGUCUGAAGCAGAGUGCCUUGGGGAAUGACAGGGAAUUGUAAUCCACGCUGUGGUGGGCGACAGGGACAGCCGGUGAGUGGAGCAGAGGCGAAGCUUUGAAAGAUGAAAAGGACAACAUAUACUAGAUACUGUGAAACAGGAAGAAAAUACUGGAUU
Chinchilla lanigera (long-tailed chinchilla) is the source of this 4854-nucleotide long non-coding RNA. RefSeq lists it as uncharacterized. The record is from RefSeq and is a predicted model, not a curated record. The transcript is spliced from 5 exons. NCBI's taxonomy places the organism in Eukaryota, Metazoa, Chordata, Mammalia, Rodentia, Chinchillidae.